Molecule: long non-coding RNA, 227 nt
Organism: Macrosteles quadrilineatus (aster leafhopper)
Lineage: Eukaryota; Metazoa; Arthropoda; Insecta; Hemiptera; Cicadellidae
Exons: 3
Source: RefSeq, a predicted model, not a curated record
CGUGAACUUCCUCGUGGAGCGUACCUUGCAGGAGCGUAGCACGGCCGUGUAGGAUAUCCAUUGAGUACAUGACGUGCUGAUAUAGUUUUCAGCACCUCCAAGACUUCCUGGCGGUGCUUCUUCCACCUUACAACAUAGUUAUUAGUAUGUACCGGAUAGCCAUCCUACUGUGUCUGGCGGCGGCCUCCACGCAGGACAUCACCAGCGGCGGCGUGUCCCUGGAGGAG